This 76-nucleotide transfer RNA is filed under the name bacterium. RNAcentral describes it as "tRNA-Ile". It matches the Rfam family "tRNA". Rfam says of the family: Transfer RNA (tRNA) molecules are approximately 80 nucleotides in length. Their secondary structure includes four short double-helical elements and three loops (D, anti-codon, and T loops). The record is from RNAcentral.
GCGCGUGUAGCUCAGCGGCAGUAGCACAGACCUUAUAAGUCUGAGGUCGAUGGUUCGAAUCCAUCCACGCGCACCA